RNAcentral lists this ribosomal RNA (301 nucleotides) under Cambarus aculabrum. Its description in RNAcentral is "partial 12S ribosomal RNA". The record is from RNAcentral. Lineage: Eukaryota; Metazoa; Arthropoda; Malacostraca; Decapoda; Cambaridae.
AAAGAAUUUGGCGGUGUUUUAGUCUAGUUAGAGGAACCUGUAUCCUAAACGAUACACCACGCAUUAUUUUACUUAUUUUAGUAGUCAGCUUGUAUACCGUCAUUAUAAGAUAAUUUAGGAGAUAAUAUUAUUGAAAUUAUAUCAUUGAGUAUAUUAGAUCAAGGUGCAGCUUAUGGGUAAGUAGAUAUGGGUUACAAUAGAAUUUAUUUAGUAUGGAUUAAAUGUUGAAAUAUAUUUAUGAAGGAGGAUUUAGUUGUAAGAGGAGGAUUAGCAAGAUUUUCUGAUAAAAGCUCUAAAUUAU